AUAAAAUCAUAAAGAUGAUGAACUGUAAAUUCAUAUUAGUAGCACCUUUAAUCU
Molecule: transfer RNA, 54 nt
Filed under: Phoneutria boliviensis
Lineage: Eukaryota; Metazoa; Arthropoda; Arachnida; Araneae; Ctenidae
Description: tRNA-Tyr
Source: RNAcentral